AUUUGAAACGAAGGUCCAGAAAGCGAUGGUGAUCCCGGGGCCGGGUACCCCUCCGCCGGCGGCACGGCGCGCUCCGGGCCGCAUCUCCUCUCCGUAGGGCGUGACACUUCCAUGCCUCCACAAUCUGUUCAACCUGUAGGGGAAAGCGGGUCACCACGCAGACCGAAGUCCCAAGCCUCCCGCCCUUGCUCCUCGUUCCCACGUGGCAGAGUGGAUCUGAGUUUGGUUACUGGCGUCCGCACCGGGAUGAGCGGUUCCCGUCGGUUCUGCUCUUCCAGGGCGCUUAGCUCCGCCGGGGCAAGCAAAGCCAGUCUCAGCUCUCGGACCACUGGAGCUGCCACCUCAGCCACGGGUUGCUCUAACACCGCCUGUGGAAGCGAGCCUUGAGCACGUGCCUGCUGCCCGCUUACAGAGUUCCCGUGGCCUGCACCGUUUCGGUGUCCUCGCCCUCCCCCCAGGUCCCACUCACGGCGCCCACGCGUGCCCAGCUUCGGGCUGCCUGGACUAGCUCAGUCUCAUCCACGCAGAGCUUGUCACUGCGUAGCACAGGCAGCAGCGCGGUGGCGGACAGCUCCAGAAAGCCACGGGUGCGGAGCGCCUCCUAUGGGCCGGUGUGUCGGUCAGGGCAGAGAAAAAAUGGCAUGGGGGGGCUACAAGUUACAAGUAUAAGGAUGGGGAGUUGUACCUGGCUGUGAGCUUCUAUAAAGGCUAUGCACCGCUCCUGUAGUGACCCCAGGCCAAAGGUUACAGCAACCUGAGAGCAGAGUAUGAUUAGGCUAGAGACUGAAGAAGCUGGAUAACCCAGAUUUGCACACAAGGUACUGCCACUGAGCACAAUCUAAACAGAAGGCUAGCAGCACCUGCAGUGUCUCCUGAAAGUAGGCAAAGUGCCUUGUGCAGAGCACACAGGUGUGGGGUAGAGGAGACCAUGUUCAGGUCUUUCAAACUCCAUCUUUGAGCCCAAGCUUGGCUUCUAAACUCCACACCCCCACCUUUCUACUAUCCAUGUUUAGAAUUGUUUUGUUGUUGUUUUUCAAGACAGAGUUUCUCUAGGUAACCUUGGUUGUCAUGGAACUCACUCUGUAGUCCAAGCUGGCCUUGAACUCAGAGAUCUACCUGCCUCUGCUUGGAUUAAAGGCAUGCACCACC
This 1149-nucleotide long non-coding RNA is filed under the name Mus musculus (house mouse). Its description in RNAcentral is "long non-coding RNA chr4:117120728-117121877". The record is from RNAcentral. Lineage: Eukaryota; Metazoa; Chordata; Mammalia; Rodentia; Muridae.